Molecule: long non-coding RNA, 1959 nt
Filed under: Diabrotica virgifera virgifera (western corn rootworm)
Lineage: Eukaryota; Metazoa; Arthropoda; Insecta; Coleoptera; Chrysomelidae
Description: uncharacterized LOC126881635
Source: RNAcentral
UAGUAAUUUGAAUUAGUUUUAAUAUGUAUUAUAAUAGUAUUAAUUCUCAUCAUGUAUCUGGCUAAAUAGCUAAGCGCUAAAGCCGCAAAAUAAAAAAAAAUUGAAAAAAACAUUCUUAGUGGCCUAGCACCUUUACUUUGCCUGGGGGCGAGGCGAGUUAAUAAAUUCUAUUUUCUUAUUGCAGUCAUUUUGUGACGGCUUAAGAAGUUACAUAAAUGAUGUCUUUAGGCUGUGAAAUUUUAACCGUAGAAAGACAUCUUUAUGACUUGUAUUUACAUGAUAUAGGGCUUUUCACUCAGUCAUUUGUUUCGAGCUUCUGUCAUGUGUUGUCUAAUAUUAAUAUAUCUAUGUCAUAUGUUAUUGAUAUUGCCAAUGAUACAAACCAAAGACGUAUGAUGUAGAUAUAUUAAUAUUAUGUGACACUUGACUGAAGCUCGAAACAAAUGACAAUCGAUGAAAAGCCCUAUUCAAUAGGGCAUUUCAUUCAGUCAUUUGUUUCGAGCUUCUGUCAUGUGUCACAUAAUAUUAAUAUAUCUACGUCGUACGUUAUUGGUAUAUACCAAUGAUACAAACCAAAGACGUAUGACGUAGAUACAUUAAUAUUAUGUGACUCAUGACAGAAGCUCGAAACAAAUGACAAUCGAUGAAAAGCCCUAUUGGCGUCUGCAUAUCAGGAUCCGGUAAUACUAUAUUAUUUAUCUAUGAUCAGGAUAUUGCUAGGUGUACACAAGUAAACAACACUUUUUUGAUUAAAAGGUUUAUUUCAUUAAAUCAAAACUUACAUGGAUACAAUUUAAAUAAGAUAUUUUUUCUAUUGAAGGCAAUAUAAUAUAAGAUAUAUAUUUUAGUAUAACUCUCCUACAUUAACAAGCUUUAACACAUUCAGUGGCCAUGACGUAUGGGUAGCAUCACGAAGGUUUUACGGAAGGUACUGACGACACAUAAGUUAUGUGAGUAGUACUGUGUAACUAAAUAAAUGAUUUAAGUAUGUGGUACCAGCCAAGUGGAGCUUGUUCGAGAUGGGCACCAAACAUGUUAAUCUGGUCAUGCACAGAGACUUAUACUAUAAUAUGUUAUAUCUCAUAUUGCUCACUAUUGUAAUGAGUGAGCCUGCAUACACGAACUAUAAUAUAUUAUUAUGGUUCUGUGUAUGCAGGCUCACUCAUUACUACUGUAGUGAACAAUAUGAGAUGUAAUAUUAUGAGAUAUACCUAUUAUAUAUUAUGGUAUAGCUCUCCAUGAGUGCCAAGUUUUAAACUUAACUGAUAACAACUAAUGGAUACCCUUUUAUCCAAAAUUUUAUGAAAAUUUUGAAUGGUCAUAUUGGUAUUAAUUCCACAACCCCUUCCUAUAACAAUAGGCCCAUUGUUGGAUGUUAUUGCAGUAGUUCUACUGGAAAUACUUACUAAAAUUGUAUGUAUCUGCAUCACUUAGAAGUCUACCCAAAAAGCUAUUAAUACUCUCUAAACCAUCAUUAAUACAUCUUGUAUACAUAAUAGGAUUUUUUUCAGAAUCAGAUAUUUUAUUAAGAUUUACUUACCAUGCCCUAUUUAUGUGCCAGGCACUUAACAGUCUAUUAGGAGCAAUACCCAUUACAUUUGACGAGGCAUUGUAAAAGGUGUCGCUUAUGCCUGAUAUGAAAACAUUUGACUAUACAUAUAAUACCAACACAGGCAUGUAUUUAAAAAAAUUGGUAAAUUAAAGUAGGUAUCUUUUCUAUUUGAAAAUAAGAAAGCAGUACAAAAUCCAUUCCCAAAUUCAUCUUUUACUAAUACUGUCAUAAGUUCAAAGUCAUAGGAAUUGAGCCCAUGAGUUCCAUCGAUUGCGAUAAAGGAUUUACCAAACUUUUGGCACAGUAUUAAGGAACAUAAGACAAAAAUCAUAAAUGUUAAAUUCAUAAUGAAUAUCCAUUAGUAUGCCCUGUUGUUUGUAAAAUAAUAUUGGACAUGAGUCUGUAAG